AGCGAACGCUGGCGGCAGGCUUAACACGUGCAAGUCGAGCGGGCAUCCUUGUGGUGUCAGCGGCAGACGGGUGAGUAACGCGUGGGAACGUGCCCUUCGGUUCGGAAUAACUCAGGGAAACUUGAGCUAAUACCGGAUACGUGCGAGAGCAGAAAGGUUUAUCUGCCGAAGGAUCGGCCCGCGUCUGAUUAGCUAGUUGGUGAGGUUACGGCUCACCAAGGCGACGAUCAGUAGCUGGUCUGAGAGGAUGAUCAGCCACACUGGGACUGAGACACGGCCCAGACUCCUACGGGAGGCAGCAGUGGGGAAUAUUGGACAAUGGGGGCAACCCUGAUCCAGCCAUGCCGCGUGAGUGAUGACGGCCUUAGGGUUGUAAAGCUCUUUUCUCCGGGACGAUAAUGACGGUACCGGAGGAAUAAGCCCCGGCUAACUUCGUG
This 437-nucleotide ribosomal RNA is filed under the name uncultured bacterium. Its description in RNAcentral is "partial 16S ribosomal RNA". It matches the Rfam family "Bacterial small subunit ribosomal RNA", at positions 29 to 507 of the family's 1533-position model. The record is from RNAcentral.